GAUACAACAGGAAAGACCUUUGAGUUAAGUUGCAUCCUUCUUUGUGAAAAUACAGCUAAAGAAAAACUCAGAAAAUACAACUAAAAAACUCAGACAACUUCAUAAAAUACAGCUAAAGAAAAACUCAGAGAAGUAUUUCCUCUGAGCACAGACAUUGAUUCUUUAAGACUAUUACUCUAUGUAUGGGACUCAGUUUAAAAAUUUGGACAUAACUUGCACUUAAACAUGAGAGAAGCUAUCUAAGAAAGAACCAUUACGAAUAUAAUGAGGAUGCUACAUUUCAUCCCAAUUUAUAAUCAUCUGACCUCAGGAUAACCAGUGUGAAAAGUCUUUCAUCAUAAAUUCAACUUUGUUAGAUAUCUGAGAAUUAUUGGAGAGAAACCAUCUGCAUAUAUUGAACGUGGGAAAGCUUUCAUCCAUGUCACAUGUCAAGAGAUACUAAGG
This 444-nucleotide long non-coding RNA is filed under the name Bos taurus (domestic cattle). RNAcentral's name for it is "long non-coding RNA NONBTAT009379". The record is from RNAcentral. Lineage: Eukaryota; Metazoa; Chordata; Mammalia; Artiodactyla; Bovidae.